Molecule: ribosomal RNA, 207 nt
Filed under: uncultured bacterium
Lineage: Bacteria
Description: partial 16S ribosomal RNA
Rfam family: Bacterial small subunit ribosomal RNA
Source: RNAcentral
CUCGUAGGCGAUUUGUCACGUCGGGAGUGAAAACUCAGGGCUUAACCCUGAGCCUGCUUCCGAUACGGGCAGACUAGAGGUAUGCAGGGGAGAACGGAAUUCCUGGUGUAGCGGUGAAAUGCGCAGAUAUCAGGAGGAACACCGGUGGCGAAGGCGGUUCUCUGGGCAUUACCUGACGCUGAGGAGCGAAAGUGUGGGGAGCGAACA